Molecule: non-coding RNA, 73 nt
Organism: Capra hircus (goat)
Lineage: Eukaryota; Metazoa; Chordata; Mammalia; Artiodactyla; Bovidae
Source: the annotation of a RefSeq genome assembly
UUCCUGGUGGUCUGGUGGUUAAGACUCUGCACUCCCGAUGCAGGGGGCCUGGGUUCGAUCCCCGGUCAGGGAA